UACGGGGGGGGCAAGCGUUGUUCGGAAUUACUGGGCGUAAAGGGCUCGUAGGCGGCCAACUAAGUCAGACGUGAAAUCCCUCGGCUUAACCGGGGAACUGCGUCUGAUACUGGAUGGCUUGAGUGUGGGAGAGGGAUGCGGAAUUCCAGGUGUAGCGGUGAAAUGCGUAGAUAUCGUAAGGAAGACCAGUGGCGAAGGCGGGUCUCUGGACAGUUCCUGACGCUGAGGCACGAAGGUCAGGGGAGCAAACGGG
This 253-nucleotide ribosomal RNA is filed under the name uncultured bacterium. RNAcentral describes it as "partial 16S ribosomal RNA". It matches the Rfam family "Bacterial small subunit ribosomal RNA", at positions 524 to 776 of the family's 1533-position model. The record is from RNAcentral.